Molecule: microRNA precursor, 66 nt
Filed under: Microcaecilia unicolor
Lineage: Eukaryota; Metazoa; Chordata; Amphibia; Gymnophiona; Siphonopidae
Description: Mun-Mir-223_pre stem-loop
Rfam family: mir-223 microRNA precursor family
Source: RNAcentral
CGUAUAUUUGAUAAGCUGAAUUUGACACUCAUUUGUGGUAGAGUGUCAGUUUAUCAAAUAUUCUAA